Molecule: ribosomal RNA, 429 nt
Filed under: Gemmatimonadota bacterium
Lineage: Bacteria; Pseudomonadati; Gemmatimonadota
Description: Gemmatimonadetes bacterium partial 16S ribosomal RNA
Rfam family: Bacterial small subunit ribosomal RNA
Source: RNAcentral
UAGGGAAUAUUCGGCAAUGGACGAAAGUCUGACCGAGCAACGCCGCGUGAGUGAAGAAGGUUUUCGGAUCGUAAAACUCUGUUGUUAGAGAAGAACAAGGACGUUAGUAACUGAACGUCCCCUGACGGUAUCUAACCAGAAAGCCACGGCUAACUACGUGCCAGCAGCCGCGGUAAUACGUAGGUGGCAAGCGUUGUCCGGAUUUAUUGGGCGUAAAGCGAGCGCAGGCGGUUUCUUAAGUCUGAUGUGAAAGCCCCCGGCUCAACCGGGGAGGGUCAUUGGAAACUGGGAGACUUGAGUGCAGAAGAGGAGAGUGGAAUUCCAUGUGUAGCGGUGAAAUGCGUAGAUAUAUGGAGGAACACCAGUGGCGAAGGCGGCUCUCUGGGCUGUAACUGACGCUGAGGCUCGAAAGCGUGGGGAGCAAACAGG